UCCGAGUUGACCCCGGCAGUCUCCUAUGAGUCCCCACCAUCACGUGCUGGCAACAUAGAACGAGGGUUGCGCUCGUUGCGGGACUUAACCCAACAUCUCACGACACGAGCUGACGACAACCAUGCACCACCUGUACACCAGCCCCACAAGGAGGAAAACUCAUCUCUGAGCCGAUCCGGUGUAUGUCAAGCCUUGGUAAGGUUCUUCGCGUUGCAUCGAAUUAAACCACAUGCUCCACCGCUUGUGCGGGCCCCCGUCAAUUCCUUUGAGUUUCAGCCUUGCGGCCGUACUCCCCAGGCGGGACACUUACUGCGUUAGCGACGGCACCGGGAGGGUCGCUCCCCCCGACGCCUAGUGUCCAUCGUUUACGGCGUGGACUAC
RNAcentral lists this unclassified non-coding RNA (381 nucleotides) under uncultured Actinomycetes bacterium. Its description in RNAcentral is "uncultured actinobacterium contains 16S-23S intergenic spacer region". The record is from RNAcentral. Lineage: Bacteria; Bacillati; Actinomycetota; Actinomycetes.